RNAcentral lists this ribosomal RNA (468 nucleotides) under uncultured bacterium. RNAcentral's name for it is "partial 16S ribosomal RNA". It matches the Rfam family "Bacterial small subunit ribosomal RNA", at positions 28 to 507 of the family's 1533-position model. The record is from RNAcentral.
GACGAACGCUGGCGGCGUGCUUAACACAUGCAAGUCGAACGGAAAGGCCCUGCUUUUGUGGGGUGCUCGAGUGGCGAACGGGUGAGUAACACGUGAGUAACCUGCCCUUGACUUUGGGAUAACUUCAGGAAACUGGGGCUAAUACCGGAUAGGAGCUCCUGCUGCAUGGUGGGGGUUGGAAAGUUUCGGAGGUUGGGGAUGGACUCGCGGCUUAUCAGCUGGUUGGUGGGGUAGUGGCUUACCAAGGCUUUGACGGGUAGCCGGCCUGGGAGGGUGACCGGCCACAUUGGGACUGCGAGACGGCCCAGACUCCUACGGGAGGCAGCAGUGGGGAAUCUUGCACAAUGGGCGGAAGCCUGAUGCAGCAACGCCGCGUGCGGGAUGCCGGCCUUCUUGUUGUAAACCGCUUUCGCCUGUGACGAAGCGUGAGUGACGGUAAUGGGUAAAGAAGCACCGGCUAACUACGUG